Molecule: ribosomal RNA, 489 nt
Filed under: uncultured bacterium
Lineage: Bacteria
Description: bacterial SSU rRNA
Rfam family: Bacterial small subunit ribosomal RNA
Source: RNAcentral
AGAGUUUGAUCCUGGCUCAGGACGAACGCUGGCGGCACGCCUAACACAUGCAAGUCGGACGAGGUUAUGAAAAAGCUUGCUUUUUCAUAACCGAGUGGCGGACGGGUGAGUAACGCGUGAGUAACCUGCCUUUUUGAGGGGGAUAACGUUUGGAAACGGACGCUAAUACCGCAUAAUGUAUCGAGAUGACAUCAUCAUGAUACCAAAGGAGUAAUCCGCAAAAAGAUGGACUCGCGUCCAAUUAGCUAGUUGGUGAGGUAAAGGCCCACCAAGGCGACGAUUGGUAGCCGGACUGAGAGGUUGAACGGCCACAUUGGGACUGAGACACGGCCCAGACUCCUACGGGAGGCAGCAGUGGGGAAUAUUGGACAAUGGACCAAAAGUCUGAUCCAGCAAUUCUGUGUGCACGAUGAAGGUCUUCGGAUUGUAAAGUGCUUUCAGGUGGGAAGAAGAAAGUGACGGUACCACCAGAAGAAGCGACGCUAAAUA